RNAcentral lists this long non-coding RNA (4827 nucleotides) under Sus scrofa (pig). RNAcentral's name for it is "lncRNA (ENSSSCG00040042629.1)". The record is from RNAcentral. Lineage: Eukaryota; Metazoa; Chordata; Mammalia; Artiodactyla; Suidae.
GGCAUAUGGAGGUUCCCAGGCUAGGGGUCUAAUCAGAGCUGCUGCCACCAGCCUAUGCCAGAGCCACAGCAAUGCCAGAUCCGAGUCGCAUCUACAACCUCACCACAGCUCAAGGCAACGCCAGAUCCUUAACCCACUGAGCAAGGCCAGGGACUGAACCUGCAACCUCCUGGUUCCUAGAUGGAUUCGUUAACCACUGCGCCACGAUGGGAACUCCCAACACAUGAAUAUAUUUAUUGAAAUAAUUAUCAAUAUCAUAAGAGAAUUUUGCUCCCAUCUUCUUUCCAUAUGUGAUUCAUAGAAUUAUAUGCAACUCAUCUAAGCUGGGCUACCCAUCAUCUGAGGCAGCGUUAAAUCAGUAUCCCAUCUAAAAACACAUCGAGCUCUAAAAAGUGACUUGAGAUGAAUAUCGACCUUUAUGAAAGAUCUUUUGAGGAAGCAACAAUGAGGCAAUUCAUAAAAUUGCACAGAGCACUUGCUUACAACAGUUUUCAGAUAUCUCUUUCUCCCCUCAAAGUCUCACCCCAUGUAGCCACAGCUCAUAUUUUUCUUCCCUCAUUUAAAACUCCUUUACAUUCCUUGCAUUCCCUCUUGUCCUGCCUCCUCUGGGAUGUGUGUCUUAGUCUCCAUACCUUUAAAGUUCCAUGCUACUAACCCAGCAGCCUCCCCAUAGCACAAGCUCUUGAGACGUGAGCUCAAUCCCUUUUGGCUGCUCUGAUGGGGUCCUGAGGAAAGAGCUUCCCCCUUCAAUCCUGAAAGUCUCAGCAGAAUUCCUAAACUUUUCUUGAAGAAUUUUUUCUUGAAGACUUUUUCUUCAAAUGCUUGUAGAGUUCAACAUUUGUACUCUCACUUCUUUCUAUUAACCUUUCUUUUUAUUGCAUUUUAUUUACAUAAUCUUAGUAAAUAGCACAAUCACAGAAAACAAGUAAUUGUUUUAUUUCAUUGUAAAACGUAAGUUGAGAUAAGUGAUCUCCUUCAAUUGGUUGAGAUUGUAUGGUGACAAUGAGAGCAGAAUGCAUUUUCACUACAAUGCAAUAGAAAGAUACUUAGAAGGGAUGUGGAAUUCCAGAAUGAAAGAGCUACACAGUAGGGACACAAGAGAAAAAGAAUUCUAUUCUGCACUAUUGAAGCUUUAUCCUCUACCGUUAACUAGCCCUGACCUCCUGAGUACAUUACCUCUAAGUCUCAAGGACUCCUGCCCUUUGAACAAAAUGUUUAUUAGAUGCUAUAUCCUAUGUCUACUCUUAAUCUUGACAUUUAGGUCUUAACAAACCUAAUAAUGAGAAAGGGCAAGUAGUUAUAACUUUAAGACGGCUAAGCAAAGUAGAAUUCUUGUCCCUAAAGCUGUGAACACCUGACUUAUGUCCCCUGAGAGAACCCUUCCCAGUCCUGAUGGGGUUCCCGUCAUGGCUCAUUGGAAAUGAAUCUGACUAGUAUCCAUGACGAUGGCGAUUCCAUCCCUGGCCUCAAUGGAUUAAGGAUCUGGCAUUGCUGUGAGCUGUCNAGCUAUAGCUCAGAUUCAACCCCUAGCCUGGGAACCUCCAUAUGUCAUGGGUGCAGCCCAAAAAAGAAAAAAAAAAAAAAGAAAUUAGUUCUAAUUUUUUGUCUUUGACCCAUAUCAUCUGACUUCUCUUGGUGGAGUUGGAAUAUUGAGUUUAUACUAGACACUAAAAUGUGUGACAUAAUUAUUGCUAUUUCCUAAAAGAAAUUCAUUAAUCAAUUUCAACUCAGAUGUUAGGUAGCCAAGAGAAAUUUCCCAAUGAAACUGUGCCACUUUUUUUAAAGUGACCAAGAACAGUCAGAUCCCAACUGAUAUAUAUUUAAAAGCUAUUCUCUCUUUUUAUGGAAAUUUAGUGCUAUGCAUUUUUUCCUGAAAGUAAAAUUUAUAACCUCAAUUCAUGAAAAUCAAAGAAACUAAUUUAAUAUGGGAAUUCAUGUCAUCAAAUAUUAUUAAAGCCUUAUAUUAGUAAACUUAUUCAAAGUAAUGCCUCAGAUUAUAUACUCAAAUUAAUCUAAAUUCUCAGUGGACAUUGUUAUACUGUCAAAAAUCACACUGACACAGGGUCUCAUAGAAAUAGAAGCUUGGUAUCAGAAGGUUAAUAAUUCCCGGACAUACUAUUAGGAUAAAAAAGCAAGCUAUGUGGGAGUUCCUGUUGCGGCUCAGUGGUAACAAAUAAAACUAGUAUCCAUGAGGAGGAGUGUUCAAUCCCGGGCCUCACUCAGUCGGUUAAGGAUCUGGCAUUGCCGUGAGCUAUGGUGUAGGUCACAGAUGCAUCUUGGAUCCUGCGCUGCUUUGGCUGUGGCAUGGGCCGGCAGCUGCAGCUCCUAUUGGACCCCUAGGCUGGGAACUUCCAUAUGCCUCAGGUGUGGCCCUAAAAAGCAAAACAGAAAGAAAAAAAAAAAGCUAGCUGUGUAUUAGACACAAAUAAGGAGAUCUGAGUGCUGGAGAUGGUACAUCUAAAUUUUAUGUCACAUAUAAGUUCAUCUUACCGGAAGGCAGUUCUUCCUGUGUUCCUCACAUCUCUGCAUACCUUGCAAGCAGAAACACUGCCUGUCCUUUGUUUAGACUAUCUCAUCCAGGGUGUUUGCCUGGUGAACAGCCUUGGAAAGCUGUGCGUACCUCUAGAGCAAAGGUCAACUUUGCUUAUAGCCUUAAAGGUCAUGACACUGUCUCCCUGCUGAACAAAGGCAGGUGGUCUACGGCCCAUUGCAAAAGACACGGGGUCCCUAAACUCAGGCUUUCCCCUCUGUAAUGCAACACACUGGGGCGUAUCACCCAACCUUCCUCAUGUUAUUGAUCUGUCUGAAUUUUUCCUUAAAGACCCAAUGCCAGAGUAACAGUACUUUUUGCUAUUCUUGUUGUGAGAGAAUUACCUCAGUUUCUGCCAUCAUCCAUGAAGCUAUGGUUGGAAAACUUGCAAAUAAGAUUAAUACUCAGACCCAUCAUAGUUCUACAGAGAUUUUAUACUAAAUAUUGGGUAAAUAGCCAUGGCAUGAUUAUAGGCUGGGCAAAGUAUUCUCUAAAGAGGUUUCUUAGAUCUGAGGAUCUUUUCCACUGCAUUUAAAUUUGAUUAUUAACAAUAUACUUUAUAAGAGAAAUGACUGAAAAGAAUUGCAUUUCUGAGUAGCUCUUCAAUGCUCAAAAUCAACUAAUUUGCUCAGCUUUUUUAAAAUGGGGAAAUGUUUCUACAUACUAGCCAUACGAAAUUGCUCAGGUUUCCUUUUUUAGCAACAAUUUUAUCUCACUUUUGAAAACAGAGCUGGAUCCUUACUGUAAAAAUCCAACAUGAAGAUUUGCCAGAAAAAAUCCACUAAAGUUACUGGGAGAUAAAAGAAACUUUAAGAAUUGUUUAAAAAACAAAAACAAAAAAGAAGUUUUCUUUUUUUAAAAUAUGAAGAUUACAUAUUGUCUAAAAGUCACUCUUGCUUGAUCUUAUAGAGAUCAAGCGUAAGAGAAGGUUGCAAAGUGUGUGUGUGUGUGUGUGUGGGGGUAUUUGGGAGUGAUUAUUUUGUAGGGUGAGGAGCUUCUCCAGCCCUUGUGUUAGCUGUUUAGCAAUCCCUUCAUUUACCUUUAUUUAACUUCUUAUGCAGUCUUGGAAGCAAAUAUUCUCAAUAUUUUGAACUCUCCAAAGUCUGAUUACGUGUCUUUCUCAUUCUGAGCACAUGAGGCCUCUGACUACACCAUUCUUCUGCUAACAACACUGGAGUCCUCCUUUGGACUCGCUUUUUACCUAUGCAUUUGUUUUCUGCGUCCUCUCACAUAAUUCCUUUGCCUCCCUGUUUUUCUCAGGGGAAGAUAUAUUCCUCCAGUUUCCAUGCCUGAACCUGUCUUUCCUUUCUCCUCCCCCAGACCUCAAUUCAUAAAAGGUUUAUAGGAUAUUGAAAAGUCACUCUUUAUUUUCUCUGCCUUGCCACAUUCUCAUGGAGAUACUAAAUCACGUCUGCCGAAUAAUUUUAAAAUCAGGAAACUCAUUCUGCCGGCAUUAACUCAUCAUCUACUUCUAGGUUAGAUAAGAGUACAACGUAUUAUUAGGUCUUGAAAGACUAUGAUGAAGACACCUUUAAAAAGUGCAGUUAGCGUGUUAAUGUGGAGAAGUUCAGAAUGCUAUAGAGUAAUACGGAGGGAGUUGCUUUAAUCCCACUCUAACAUUCACAGUCCCAACAGGAGAGAGAAAAUGUACCUACAGGGUUAAUUAAGAACAUGUGAAUAGGGAACAAUUUACAAAGCUGUGUAGAAGAUUGUGGAAAGCAAAAACGGAACAUGAAACACUCUGGACCAAACAAUUUGGACUAAGCCUGAAGGGGGAAACAGCAAUAAUGGUUCCCAGACCUCAGAAGAACUGGAGCUGCAAGACUGUAGCAGCGGGUCUCCAGGACAAGGACAGAGCCUCUGCUGACCUGCAGCCUGCCCGGGAUGGGACAAGGAGAACGAGUACCACAGCUUCUAUUCCCCCCACACCUCAUUGUUCUUAUGGAGCUAAGAUAACCAGAAGCCAGAGGAAGGGAGGCUGGGCAAACCACUGCAGGGCACACAGAGCAGUCUGGAAAUGGGUAGAGAACAGACAUGAAGGGGAAAAGGAAAAACAUGGAAAGUAUCAGCCAAAAGGCCCUUUUGGAAGACUAUAUAGAAAGACUGAUAUAUAUUUGCCAAUUAUUAUUAUUAUCACUACUAUGGAUGAUGGUUAGGGAUUUGUAUCUGAUUCUUGCAUUUAAAAAUCUGAAGACUGUGGAGUUCCCAGUGUGGUGCAAUGGGAUCAGCAGGGUCUACAGGUUCGAUCCUGUGUUAAGUGUUUAAUGUGUUAGGUAUUAAACGUGUUAAGUGUUAAC